Vulpes vulpes (red fox) is the source of this 99-nucleotide small nuclear RNA. NCBI's taxonomy places the organism in Eukaryota, Metazoa, Chordata, Mammalia, Carnivora, Canidae. The record is from Ensembl.
GUGCUUCAGCAGCACAUAUACAAAAAUUGGAAAGAUGCAGAGAAGAUUAGCCCCUGUGCAAGAAUAUAAAGGGUUGAUGAAGAUAUGUAGCAACUGGAA